RNAcentral lists this microRNA (24 nucleotides) under Salmo salar (Atlantic salmon). RNAcentral describes it as "ssa-miR-103-5p". Its record names the gene ssa-miR-103-5p. The record is from miRBase by way of RNAcentral. Lineage: Eukaryota; Metazoa; Chordata; Actinopteri; Salmoniformes; Salmonidae.
AGCCUCUUUAUGAUGCUGCCUUGU